AAAGUCGUAACAAGGUUUCCGUAGGUGAACCUGCGGAAGGAUCAUUAACACAAAACUCUAACAAACCAAACCGUGAUCAUAUACCAAACCAAAAACACACUGUGGGGAUGAUGGGGAAGAAGGCUCGAAAGGAGAAGUGGGCGGGGAAAGGUGAAGGGAAACUUUCGCUGGACUUUGUUCAUCAUCUAAGUAAGGCUGGAUUUUCUUGAGUCUGCUGCAGGAAACCUUUAUUUAACCCCUUUUAACCAAACAAAAGCUAUACUACUGACGUUGGAUGCUUUGAGGUCGUAAAAAGCCUUGGAGUUGAAUACGAAACGCUGAACAAUUCUUAGCAAUGGAUGUCUAGGCUCUC
RNAcentral lists this unclassified non-coding RNA (352 nucleotides) under Ascomycota sp. RNAcentral's name for it is "partial contains small subunit ribosomal RNA and internal transcribed spacer 1". The stretch from base 1 to 47 matches the Rfam family "Eukaryotic small subunit ribosomal RNA", at positions 1785 to 1831 of the family's 1831-position model. Lineage: Eukaryota; Fungi; Ascomycota. The record is from RNAcentral.